RNAcentral lists this long non-coding RNA (482 nucleotides) under Lynx pardinus (Iberian lynx). Lineage: Eukaryota; Metazoa; Chordata; Mammalia; Carnivora; Felidae. The record is from RNAcentral.
GUUCCAAGCAUCCUUGGCAAGAAUAUUGGGAGUUUGAGGGGUCCCCAAAGGAGGUUCAUCCAAGUGACCUGACUGGGACUGAUGAGUGCAGGCCAGUGCAGACAGAAGCGGACACACAGUUUGUGCUUGGGGUAUGUACCCUCUGCCUACACCUCCUCUGCAUUCUUUCCCCCAUGUCCCAGAGCCUGUGCAAAAGGCCCCUCAACAUCUGUGCGCCUCCACAGAACUUGGGCCUGAUGUCUCUGUGUUGCUUUUGUUUUUCCUUAGCAGGACUGAGUCCUAACGUUAUCAGUUAGUGUACUGUGCAUGUAUUUUUUUUUUUAAGAAGUUUGAUUUUAUCUCUUUAGAAACGGUUUGAAACUAACGGGGCAGAGGGAGUUUGACAGAGAGGAGAACAAAUCGCUGACAAAGAACCUUUUACGUUUCAUCAGCGUUGUUAGGACGACAAGCAGGAAUGUCUCAGAUAAUAACUCCCACUUCAA